Molecule: transfer RNA, 77 nt
Filed under: Caulerpa cupressoides
Lineage: Eukaryota; Viridiplantae; Chlorophyta; Ulvophyceae; Bryopsidales; Caulerpaceae
Description: tRNA-His
Source: RNAcentral
UGUUUUUAUGGGAUAUGGCCAAGUGGUAAGGCUGUGGGCCUUAGGCGUAUGGGUUCGAGUCCCAUCGAGAGCAACCA